Molecule: long non-coding RNA, 458 nt
Filed under: Homo sapiens (human)
Lineage: Eukaryota; Metazoa; Chordata; Mammalia; Primates; Hominidae
Description: HSALNT0031739
Source: RNAcentral
CUGACAUCUUACCAAAUAAGAAAUGGGGCUGGGCGCGGUGGCUCACACUUGUAAUUCCAGCACUUUGGGAGGUUGAGGCAGGAGAAUGGCAUGAACCCAGGAGGCAGAGCUUGCAGUGAGCUGAGAUCACGCCACUGCACUCCAGCCUGCACGACAGGAGCGAGACUCCAUCUCAAAAAAAACAAAAAAGAAAGAAAUAGUAAUAGGUAUACUUAAUUUUUUUUUUAAAGGAAGUUUUUUUUUUAAGAGAUGGAGUCUUACUCUGUUGCCCAAGCUGGAGCGCAGUGGUGUAAUGAUAGCUCACCGCAGUCUUGAACUUCUGGACUCAAGGGAUCCUCCUGCUUCAGCGUCAUCCUCCCAAAUAGCUGGGACUACAGGAAAACAGCACUGCACUGACAAUUGUUAUUUUAUUUAAUUGUUUUUUAGAGACAGGGUCUCACUUAUUAAGCCCAGACUGG